This 250-nucleotide ribosomal RNA is filed under the name uncultured bacterium. RNAcentral's name for it is "partial 16S ribosomal RNA". It matches the Rfam family "Bacterial small subunit ribosomal RNA", at positions 355 to 602 of the family's 1533-position model. The record is from RNAcentral.
GGAUGAAUUUUGGACAAUGGGGGAAACCCUGAUCCAGCGACGCCGCGUGGAGGACGAAGGUCUUCGGAUUGUAAACUCCUUUGUUUGGGACUAAGAAACCUGUAGAAAUAUGGGGAGUGAAUGUACCAGAUGAAUAAGCCACGGCUAACUUCGUGCCAGCAGCCGCGGUAAUACGAAGGUGGCAAGCGUUACUCGGAAUUACUAGGCGUAAAGGGCAGGUAGGUGGUUCGGCAAGUCUGUUGUGGAAGCU